UAAUUCUUUUAAGAUACUCACAUCUUUAUUUUUCAGAGACUCAAAGAAGAAGAAAAAAGAAAAAGCCUCUUUAUAUGAUGAACUAAAUAAAUAUUUAAAAGCUAUGGAAUCCUUCCAUUCUAAUCUAUCCUAAGAAAUAUAUUUUAUAAUUUAUAAAACAUGGGAUACUCAUUUAUUUUGAUCUGAAAAGGAGUUUCUCCACC
RNAcentral lists this long non-coding RNA (203 nucleotides) under Elaeis guineensis (African oil palm). RNAcentral describes it as "long non-coding RNA (EGUI_LNC042626)". Lineage: Eukaryota; Viridiplantae; Streptophyta; Magnoliopsida; Arecales; Arecaceae. The record is from RNAcentral.